UUUUUCUUCCGCUCUAUAUUGAAGCUUAUAUAGAAAUUUAUUGCUUCGAGUGAUUGAUGAUCUGUUUUGAAGGAAAUAUGUGUUUUAAUGGUGAACUAUGAAAUGUCUCCAUACUUUCAUUUCAAUUGUUCUUGUAAAGAUCUUAAAUGAAGCUCAUCAUAUGGUUAUUUUUUUGCGACUCUGAAGAGUUUUGACUAAUAGUGGAAGAUGAGAAUUAUAAAUUUGCAUGUGGAAAUUUACUACAGAGCAAAAUUUGAUUGAACGAUUUUUUUAUUUUUUUUUUAAUUUUCCUUUUCAGGCAGGGAGCAAAGCAAGUUCAGAAAAUAACAUUCAUGUUCGUCUUCUCUAUUAUCUCCAUUUGGACCUUCGAUUUUUUCUGCAAAUUUUUAUGUCACAAAAUGUAUUUUGGUAGGUACCUUUCUGGGAUUAAUAGUAACAAAGAAUAGGAUUAGAGUUUGUUCAGCUUGCAAUUUUAUGGGGACUUUAUGGUUUUGGUUGGAGAACUUCUUUGGUCCUUACUAGGGUUAUUGUUGCUUUGACUGCUUAUGAUGAGCUCAUGAAGGCAUUCUCAGAACGCAACAAGGUACUCGUAUCAUCUCUGUUGGUUGUUCCAUCAAGUUCUAAAAUACCUUAGUUUAAGACUGCUGCAUCAUAAAGGAGAAGCUACAGACAAAUUGGUAAGCCAAUCAGUGUCUCAAAAACUCAGCACAUCUCAAGCUUUUGUAGAGAAACUAUUGGAAAAGAGUCUUGCCAAACUCCAAGAAGAGCAAUUGAAGCGAGACAAUUUUGUGAGAUCGAAUUGGAUUGGUAAGGAAAUCGUGGACUUGUGUCUCGACUGAGUCAGGAAAUUAGCGGACAACUGAACUGGUUUACAAGGCUUCUUGGCAUUGGGGAUAAUAUCAUUACAAAACCAAUGUGUGUUUGUGGAGCAAGAGGGAUACUUGCAGAUCACCUUCUGCCGAACAUGACACUCCGAGAUACAAUUAACCGCAUCUUAGAGUCUGGUAGCAGCAGUUCAGAUAAAUCAGGAAGUGCUCUUCGACCUCAAGGAUGUGGAGUCUGCACGAUGUCCUCAACCUAGGAUUUCAUCACUCACUCCAUCUGCUGCAUCAAAAGGGGACCAAAUGGCACCUUCAGCUGUCGCUGCCACUACCACAGAAAUGCUUAUGCAGUGACAGGUUGUGCGUCAAAGGGUUUGGUGGGUCCUGUCAUUGGCCACUGAUGAACAUUGCUGGAUCCAAUGAUUCAUACCUUUUCUGCGUCACCCUUCCAGGAGUCUAAAGAGAAAACUGCAAGUAGCAUAUUGCCUAUGACAGUAGACUAAAGCUAAUUGCUGGAUCAGCUGAAGGAUACUCUGGACAUGUUGAUGGGAAACAUAGGGAAGCGAGGAUGAACCAUCCUAAAGGUGCUGCUGUCGAUGACAGGGGAAACAUAUAUGUUGCUGACACUGAAUAUGACUAUCAGAGAAACUCUUGCCUAUGCUGCCAGAUUGCAGGGUGUCGGAUAUCGUUAUGAAAUGUUGGCUGAGUUAUCUAGGAGGGAAAAGGAGGCUUCUUCUACUCAAGGGUUUGAAGAACGUUGGUUGGGAUAGAUGAGUCAACUGCUGGUGAGAGACAACCACGAGUUUCAACAGCUACAAAUUCAUUCUCAGAAGCAGCAGCAUCAGUUUCAACACCACCAACUUCAUCAGCUCCAGUAGUAUCAGUUACAGCAGCAGGAAUCAACCCAGCUGCCUCAACACUCUGAUUAUAAGAUGAGACCAUCGAUCCCGUUACCAAAAGAAAAUGCAUCAGAUUCCAAAUCUGGAGCAUCAAAGGAUUAAAGAAACAGAUAGAAGAGGAUGAAAAAUUUUCAGAGCAGCAGGCUGAGGCUCUGAAGACCCAUCAUCAGAAGAUGGAGACGAUUAAUUCUGUUUUAGCUGAUGGCUCUUAAAAGCAUCUUGCGAAGCGUUAUGGGGAAUAUCUCACUUUUGAGUGAUGAUACUGGACUUUCAUAUCGAAGCUUUUGUAUAUAGAGGUAGGAUAAGUUUGGGAAACAUUAAUGUUGACCUUGUUUUAGGUUGCUUGCAAUCGCUUGUCUGAGUUUAAGCUGCAAUUGCUUAUCAGCUGUACAUUCAUGUGGAUAUGCUCUUCUGCAUUUUAUUCUCUUUUUAGUUUCAAACAUGAUGUCCUUUCCAUCAUUUGUUGUAUGUAGGUAUGAUAUUAAACCCAAUUUAAUGGUGCUACCUUUUCGUCCAAAGUUUUGUAAUCAAGCUAUACUUUGUUGCUGAAUUUGUGCUUCAGAGAUGUGAGUUAUCUGUUUUCUCGUUUUUUCCAGAUUUAUCACAGGUAACUUGACAUCAAACAUACUGAAUGUGAGCUCAUUAGUGAAAUAAAGGUUCAAAUUGUAUCGGUGUGCAAGUACCUAUCGCUUUAUCUGUUUCAAGUCUUUUCAACCAUGAGUAACUGAAAAAUGAUUUUGAUGGUUAUAGACAAACGAAGGGGUGUUGGUUUAUCAUCUCAGACAUGUUACUUGCUGUGUCCCAAUAGUGAUUCCAAGCUUUUAAAUGCACUCCAUGAUUUAAGCUGUUCUCACUCCAUUCAUAAGUGAGUUUUGAAAUUUCAGGCUUUGGUGUUGACACACAGAUUUUUUAGCUUUUCACUCGUGGUAUUUUUCAUCCUCUGGCAUACGUCAACGACUGGAGAUACCAAUAUCAAUACCAAUAUGAAGGUUAGCAAUUUACUUAUCUAUGAACAAUUCUUCUGGAGUGCAGUCUUCAUGAUAUUUGGGAUCCUAUGACACAAGCUUUACAGAUUGGUUCUUUUUGGUUUCCCUUUGGAUGCAUAGGUUUCAAUUAAUGUGCCUUCAGGACAUGAUCAAAACUCUGAUGUUGGUUAUGCCAAUGUCAUGCACUCAGGUUGGGAUACUCAUUCUUGGUAUUACAUCUCAGUGAGAAUUGGCCUAUUCCUUUGGGUAUGAUAAUGUUACAUCUUAGAGGGAAAUUUUAUCUCAAUCUGUGAUAUUAUACGAGUCUAAUAUAUCUGCAUUUUUGGGUAUUGAAAAUUGCUUAUUGAAUUUGAUUACUAUCUCUUCAACGUGGGCAAGAGUGAUUGAUGUUAUGGAUAGUGAGGUUAGUUACUAUCCCCUUGAUAAGUUUUAAAUUUAGACUUCUGUGAGAUUGUAACUUGGACUUAUAUCCAGUCAGGUUCAAUAUUGUUUGGGUUUAUUGGUGCGGGUGCUACACUUGGUCAACUGUUUGGGUCAUUGUUUGCAACUGGAUAGGCUUGGAUGGGAUCUUGUAUGUAGUAGUCUGUUAUUUCCGUAGUACUUGCUGUGGAUUGUAUUGCUCACAUAGCCGUGAUCUCUUUUGCUUUCAAUGGUAUUCAUAGUAUCUAAGUCCUUAUAUUGUACUUCUUUCAGUUUUACUCCUUGUAUCUGCUUUCCUGAUGGAACUAGCUGCACAGUUUUCUAAAGGAAUCAGUCAAGAUGCACCUCAUCUUUCUGAUGAAGGCACGCCAAUGAUAGGAUACUAGCGGAUCAAGGGAAGAUGAUCUAUGAUUUGGAACUAAAGAAAAAACAGCCUGAUUGGUAUAGCAAGGAAUCAAGCAAACCACAACAUUGAUAGAUAAACAUAGCUGAUGAGUAAACUUGAGGAGAAGAAGUAACAGGAAAAUGGCCUGGUCAUAAUUUUCCAUACAUAAAUUUCAGAAGCAUUUUCACGCUUGGAGAUCAGCACUCCGCAAGCAAAAUCGAGGCUUACCAAAACAUCCAACAUAUUCUUGGAUUGCUACCGACUGAUAUUGCUAGCAAGUCUGGUGUAGCAAACUGGGGGCAUCUUGAUGAAUUCGUGGCUCAAAAAUUUAGUAGUGAAGGUGAUUCGUAGACUUGUUAUUUUAGUCUUUGUUCUCUUCCUCUGGUCGAAGGCGUUAAUGUAGAUGCAAAAGAUACUGUUCAGCCUAUGUUAUCAUCUACUGCAUCCGGAUCUAGCAACGCUAGGUUGUGAUGAGUGAGAAUACAAACUGAUUCUACUUGAUUGGUAUUUGCACCUUAUUCGUCUUUCCUCUCCAUGUCACAACAUCUCUAUGUUUCAGGGACCCUUUUUCCAUACUCUCUGUACCAUGUGCUGAUGUGAUUUUAGUUUUAGUGCGCAGGUGAUUGUCUGCAAAGUAUAUAUGACUACAAUUCUUUGGACUUUGAAUUUUGAAGGGAGAUUUCACAGCUAGGAAUAUUUUUUUUUUUUUUUUGUAAAUUAGAUACGACAAAUGUAAUGAAUAACAUCCUUGAAACUUUGUUCCCAAAACCAAUUCAUCCAAAGUCGAUUAGUAGAUACAGGAACAAAGCAUAUUGUAACAGUUUUCAUUUCUUUUUCUUUUUUGUUUCCUUUUCCAUCAUUCUUCUUCUCUUUGUUUUGCUUUUCAUUUUGGUUACCUGUUUGGGAACCAUAUGUUCAUAUGAGCUGUUUGUAUGAGUAUCUGCAUAUAUGUUUCACAAUCCUAAAUAGAAAGGAAAUUGUUUUCUUA
Long non-coding RNA from Chenopodium quinoa (quinoa), 4499 nucleotides. RefSeq lists it as uncharacterized. Lineage: Eukaryota; Viridiplantae; Streptophyta; Magnoliopsida; Caryophyllales; Amaranthaceae. The transcript has 13 exons. The record is from RefSeq and is a predicted model, not a curated record.